GUGCUCUCUUUGGCAGCACAUUUAGUAAACUUAGAAUGAUUCAGAGAAGAUUAGCAUGACCUUUUUUGCAAAGAUGACAGGCAAAUUGGUGAGGCAUUCCAUAUUUUU
This is a small nuclear RNA of Octodon degus (degu), 108 nucleotides long. NCBI's taxonomy places the organism in Eukaryota, Metazoa, Chordata, Mammalia, Rodentia, Octodontidae. The record is from Ensembl.